AGCUGCCCUCCUCUGGGCCUUCUCGGACUCACUUCUCCAGCCUCCCCUCCCCUCUCCAGCUUCCUUUUCUGGGUCUCCCCCCACUGGACUAUAAGCUUCUUUCCAGCAGGAACUGCCUUUUCUUUUCGAAUCUGCAUUCAAGGCACUUGGCCCAGCAUCUGGCACAUAGUAGGUGCUUGGUCUAGAGCCAUGCUUGGAACUGUUGUGGGUGCUUAGCAAGUGCUUAUUCAGCCAAUGGGAGCCGUCCAUAAACAAGGGCAGCUGCCCAUCAACAAGCAGAGCUGUCCAUCAACAAGUGGAGCUGUCCAUCAUCAAGCAAAGUCGUCCAUCAUUGAGUGGAGCCACCCAUCAACAAGCAGAGCCGUCCAUCAUCAAGCAGAGCCAUCCAUGAACAAGUGGAGCUGUCCAUUAAUAAGCGGAGCCGCCCAUCAACAAGUUGACUAAGUGCUGACUGAGACAGACAGCAAAGUUCCUGCCCUUCCUUCUCAAGGAGCUUUCUUUCUAAUAGAGGAAACAGGUAGGAAAUGACUGGUCCAUAGGACAUGGCUACAUCCCGGAGAUGACAUGGCUCCAUGCCAUUGCUGGGAGACUGCCAGAUCAAGUCAUGGAUUCCUCCCUGACCCUGCCGGGGGGCCAGGCCUAGACUUGGCUCUUCCCAGGAAAGCCAGAAAAGGAACAGCUCCGGGGGAAGAGCCUGGGAAAGAUGGGAACCUGCUCCUGCUCUCAGGGGGCUUCCAUGUGGGGGACAGCGGGCAGCUUCCCUGAGAGGAAUUAAGACUCAACAUUCUCCUGCGGAGGUGAAACAUUCCCCUUGUUUUUCCUAUCUCCAGUGGGGGUCCUUUUGUCCUCGAUGCCCUGAACCUGCACCCAUGAGGACAGUUGGACCAAGGUUGUCACCCCAACAGGAGAGAAUUGGGGGCCAGCCCGAGCUCUGUGCCAGCGUCCCACCCUUUCCCGACGGGCCUGAGAACUGAGCAGCUUCCCCAAAUCUCCCGGCACCUAUACAAGUGCUGGACCGGAUUCCCUAAAUCCUCCCGCCAGAAGGCUCUCUCCCAGCCCCCACACUCACCUUCAGGAAGCUAGGCCCUGCUCCCCCCUCCCCCCGAGGACCCAGGCUGGGAGGCCAGAGGAGGUACCCAGAGGACAGGGGCAUCUCACUAGAAAGACCGAGUGACUAAGGAAAUCUGGGAGGAGCCAGAGGCAGGUGGGAAUCUGGGAAAUAGGUUGUUAGGGAGACAUGUAGGCUAGGGGAUGAAGUUGGAUAGAAAGGAUGAUGGGUAGAAGAGUGGAGAGUACCUCCAGACUCCAGCCUAAGCUCUGCCUGCCAUUGGCAGGUGGGAUCUCUACCUCCCAGGUAUCCCCCGGCUUGGGACUUCACUCUGCCCCCACAGCCCACUCUGGGUAGGGGGUCCCAGCUCCUGCAGCUGUGCUGCACAUCUGUACCUCUCAUUGAAAGGACCAAAAGGGAGAGGCAGGAGUGCUCAGUGGGAGUUCCUCUUGGGACCCCCAGUGUGUGGGAAGCCAGUGGGGAUGGGGAGAGGACUUCAGGUCACUGAGAUCAGCCCCCAGCCCCUGGUCAGUCCCCGAGAAGGUCUUUCUAGACAGCACUGGAGGGUAUGACUUCUUCCCUCCGGGACGAGGGCUGUAUAUGGAUGGUGUUCCCAUUUCACAGAUGAAGAGAGAGGCUCAGAGCCCCUGUGUUAGAGCUUAAGCAAUGAAGCCAAUCCAAUAAGUAGCCCAGAGGCACUUGUUAUAUACAAAAAAAAAAAAAAAAUUUAAUUGAAAUAACCUGUAUAAAAAAAUAUGAUCUCCAUACAUUUCACACUGUUCAAGUGAAGGAACAAACCCCAAAUUCCAAGUCACACUCGGGGUGACCUGGUUACAAACACAGCGAGUAAAAUAAAUUAAAGGGGCCGCUGACUGCC
Molecule: long non-coding RNA, 1925 nt
Filed under: Sarcophilus harrisii (Tasmanian devil)
Lineage: Eukaryota; Metazoa; Chordata; Mammalia; Dasyuromorphia; Dasyuridae
Description: lncRNA (ENSSHAG00000023620.1)
Source: RNAcentral